UUUUUUUUUUUUUUUUUAAUGAAAGUCGCAAAGUUUAUUUCAAGUUCUCUCUUGUUGCUGGUUUUUUUGUUUUGUUUUGUUUUGUUAUGCCACACAGGCAGCAUAUGGAAAUUUCCAGGCCAGAGAUUGAACCUGUGACACACAGCAGUGACCAGAGCCACAAUGGUAAGAACACAGGAACCUUAACCCACUAGGCCAUCAGAGAACUACCAGCAAUAGGUCUUAUUACCUUUAUCUCCACUUUUUUUUUUUUUUUGUCAUACCUGUGGUAUAUGGAAGUUCCUGGGCCAGGGAUUGAAUCUGAGCUGAAGCUGCAACUUAUGCCACACUUGUGGCAAUGAUGGAUUCUUUCUUUCUUUCUUUUUUUUUUUUUUUUUUUUUGCCUUUUCUAAGGCUGCCCCCGUGGCAUAUGGAGGUCAGCCUACACCACAGCCACAGCCAACGCCAGAUCCUUAACCCACUGAGCAAGGCUGGGAGCAGCAGCUCUGAUUUGACCCCUAGCCCAGGAACUUCCAUGUGUUGUAGGUGCAGUACUAAAAAGAAAAAAAAAAAAAACUUAUAUUAUUUCAAGGACCUCUAUAGUCACUAAGAUUCUUAGGAAAAUGAGUAUUCUAACAUUCUCUAAUUGCAAAAGUUAAUGGGAAGUACAUGUUUUAAGAAAAGAGUUAGGAUUAAGACAGCAGAAUAGAAGGACUGGAGCUCACCUUCUCUCAUGAAAACAACAAAAUUACAAUCAACUGCUGAACUAUCAUCAACAAAAUAGACUAGAAACUACCAAAAAAGUUAUCCUACACCAAAAGACAAAGAGAAGGCAACAUCAAGAUGGUAGGAGGGAUAACGGCAGAAUAUAAGUAACCCCACACCUCCCACGUGGGCGGCCCACAGACUGGAAAGUAACUGUAUCACAGAGACUUACCUACUUGAGUGAGAGUUCUGAGCCUCACAUCAGGUCUCCACACCUGGGGAUCUGGCAUUGGGAGGAGGAGCCCCUUGAUCAUUGGUGUUGAGGGCCAGAGGGGCUUGGGCACAGGAACUCCACAGAACUGGGGGAAAUGGAGAACCCACUCUUGAAAGGCACACCCAGGAUUUCAUGAGCACUGGCUUCCAGGGUAAAGCAGACUCUCCAUAGGAAUCUGGGUCAGACCUGCCUGCAGUUCUUGGAGGAUCUCCUAGGAAAAUGGGGUGAUGGUGGCUUGUUGUGGAAGAAGGACUUUUGAGGCAAAGGUCUCGGGAAUAAUCAUCAGCAAGAUGGCCAUUUUAGAAAAAUCUGGCCCCUCCAUCAAGGCUGAGAAGCCCCAGUCCAAACAACAAAUGAGGUGGGGACACAGCCCCACCCAUCAGCAAACAGGCUUACUAAGGACCUCUAGUCACACAGAUGCCUUUAAUCACACCCAGAGACAAAGCCCCACCCACCAGAGGGAUAAGAAUCAUCUCCAUGUACCAGGGGGCAGGCACCAAUUCCUCCCAUCAGGAAGCCUACAGGAAGCCCCCAUACCAGCUUCAGCCACAAGGAAGGCAGACAUCAGAAGUGAGAGAAGCUACAACUCUAUUCUCAGACACAAGAGAGGCCAUGACCCUCUAGCCUGCAAAAAGGGCAGACGAAAAGCUAUACAAAAUGAAAAGGCAGAGUAUUAUGACUCAGAUAAAAAAACAAGGAAAAAACCCCAGAAAAACAGCUAUGUGAUUUGGAGAGUACUAACCUCUAUGAAAAAGAAUUUAGACUAACGAUAGUAAAGAUGAUUCAAGAUCUUGGAAAUAAAUUGGAGGCAAAGAUUGAUAAAUUACAAGAAACAAUGAACAAAAAAACCAGAAAAUUUGAAGAUUAAGCACGCAGAGAUGCAAAAUAUAAUAACUGAAAUAAAAAAUUCACUAGAGGGAGUUCCUGUCAUGGCUCAGCAGAAACGAAUCCGACUAGCAUCCAUGAGGAUGCAGGUUCAAUUCCUGGCCUCAAUUAGUGGGGUGGGGACCUGGCGUUGCCAUGAGCUGUGGAGCAGGUCGCAGAUGUGGCUUGGAUUCCGUGUUGCUAUAGCUGUGGUGCAGGCCAGCAACUGUAGCUCUGAUUGGAUCCCUAGUCUGGGAACUUCCAUAUGCCAUGGGUACUGCUAUAAAAAGCAAAAAAAAAAAAAAAAAA
This 2131-nucleotide long non-coding RNA is filed under the name Sus scrofa (pig). RNAcentral's name for it is "lncRNA (ENSSSCG00025037697.1)". The record is from RNAcentral. Lineage: Eukaryota; Metazoa; Chordata; Mammalia; Artiodactyla; Suidae.